This 2876-nucleotide ribosomal RNA is filed under the name Sulfurovum sp. XGS-02. Its description in RNAcentral is "23S ribosomal RNA". It matches the Rfam family "Bacterial large subunit ribosomal RNA". Lineage: Bacteria; Pseudomonadati; Campylobacterota; Epsilonproteobacteria; Campylobacterales; Sulfurovaceae. The record is from RNAcentral.
AAUAAAUUAAUCUAAGGGCAGAUGGUGGAUGCCUAGACCAGGAGAGGCGAUGAAGGACGUACUAGGCUGCGAUAAGCCAGGGGGAGCUGCCAAGAAGCUUUGAUCCCUGGAUUUCCGAAUGGGGCAACCCGGCAUGUUGCGAAGCAUGUCACUCUUAGGAGAGCGAACGUGGGGAAGUGAAACAUCUCAGUACCCACAGGAAAAGAAAUCAACCGAGAUUCCCUUAGUAGCGGCGAGCGAAAAGGGAGUAGCCCUAAAGAGUUUAAGGUGUUAGUAGAAUAAGCUGGAAUGCUUGACCGUAGAGGGUGAAAGUCCCGUAUACGAAAACUAAUUAGACUUUAUUCGAGUAGGUCGGGACACGUGAAACCCUGACUGAAUAUGGGAGGACCACCUUCCAAGGCUAAAUACUACUCCAGGAUCGAUAGUGAACCAGUACCGUGAGGGAAAGGUGAAAAGAACCGCAGUGAGCGGAGUGAAAUAGAACCUGAAACCAUCUGCCUACAAUCAUUCAGAGCCCUAUGUUUUAUACAGGGUGAUGGACUGCCUUUUGCAUAAUGAGCCUGCGAGUUAUGGUGACUAGCAAGGUUAAACACACGUGAAGCCGUAGCGAAAGCGAGUCUUAAUAGGGCGUUAGUUAGUUGCUGUAGACCCGAAACUAAGUGAUCUAUCCAUGGGCAGGUUGAAGCUGGUGUAAGAGCUAGUGGAGGACCGAACGGGUGGAGGUUUAAAACUCCUCCGAUGACCUGUGGAUAGGGGUGAAAGGCCAAUCAAACUUAGUGAUAGCUGGUUCUCUCCGAAAUAUAUUUAGGUAUAGCGUCAUGUUCGAAGCUAUGGGGGGUAGAGCACUGAUUGGGCUAGGGCCUACACCAAGGUACCAAACCCAGUCAAACUCCGAAUACCCAUAGUGAAUUCAUGGCAGUCAGGUGGUGGGUGAUAAAAUCCAUCAUCGAGAGGGAAACAGCCCAGACUACCAGCUAAGGUCCCAAAGUUCUAUUUAAGUGGAAAAGGAUGUGGAGUUGCUUAGACAACCAGGAGGUUGGCUUAGAAGCAGCCAUCCUUUAAAGAAAGCGUAACAGCUCACUGGUCUAGCGAUUCUGCGCCGAAAAUAUAACGGGGCUAAAAUAGACACCGAAGCUGUAGAUUUAGUAUUUAUACUAAGUGGUAGGAGAGCGUUCUAGUCAGCAUUGAAGCCAUACCGGUAAGGAGUGGUGGAGCGGCUAGAAGUGAGCAUGCAGGCAUGAGUAGCGAGAAAACAGGUGAGAAUCCUGUUCGCCGUAAACCCAAGGGUUCCUACACUAUGCUCGUCAUUGUAGGGUUAGUCGGGUCCUAAGCUGAGUCCGAAAGGGGUAAGCGAUGGCAAAUUGGUUAAUAUUCCAAUACCAACUAAUAGUUUAGUACGAAGGGGGGACGCAUAGGGUUAAACGAGGUCACUGAUGGAAUAGUGGCUCGAAGGGUGUAGAUAAGCUGGAUAGGAAAAUCCGCCGGCUGUUUUCGAGACCUGACAGGCUGAUGACGCUCUUCGGAGCUGAUUCAGAAUCGUUGAUACCGUCGUGCCAAGAAAAGCCUCUAAGUGUAUUAUUAGUUGCCCGUACCGUAAACCGACACAGGUGGGUGAGAUGAGUAUUCUAAGGCGCGUGGAAGAACCCUGGUUAAGGAACUCUGCAAACUAGCACCGUAACUUCGGAAUAAGGUGUGCCUCCUCUUGUAUUAGAACUUGCUUCGAAAGCGAGAGAGGUUGCAACAAAGAGUCCCUCCCGACUGUUUAUCAAAAACACAGCACUUUGCUAACUCGUAAGAGGAUGUAUAAGGUGUGACGCCUGCCCGGUGCUUGAAGGUUAAUUGAUGGGGUUAGUACUUCGGUGCGAAGCUCUUGAUCGAAGCCCAAGUAAACGGCGGCCGUAACUAUAACGGUCCUAAGGUAGCGAAAUUCCUUGUCGGUUAAAUACCGACCUGCAUGAAUGGCGUAACGAGAUGGGAGCUGUCUCAACCAGGGAUCCAGUGAAAUUGUAGUGGAGGUGAAAAUUCCUCCUACCCGCGGCAAGACGGAAAGACCCCGUGCACCUUUACUAUAGCUUGACACUGCAAUUGGGAUAUAUUUGUGCAGGAUAGGUGGGAGGCUUUGAUUCAUCGGCGCCAGCUGGUGAUGAGCUAUCCUUGAGAUACCACCCUUAUAUAUUCUGAUUGCUAACUUGCGGCAAUUAUCUUGUCGGAGGACAAUGUCUGGUGGGUAGUUUGACUGGGGCGGUCGCCUCCUAAAAAGUAACGGAGGCUUACAAAGGUUGGCUCAGAUGGGUUGGAAAUCCAUCGCAGAGUAUAAUGGUAUAAGCCAGCUUAACUGCGAGACGUACAUGUCGAGCAGAGACGAAAGUCGGUCAUAGUGAUCCGGUGGUUCUGUGUGGAAGGGCCAUCGCUCAAAGGAUAAAAGGUACGCCGGGGAUAACAGGCUGAUCUCCCCCAAGAGCUCACAUCGACGGGGAGGUUUGGCACCUCGAUGUCGGCUCAUCGCAUCCUGGGGCUGAAGCAGGUCCCAAGGGUAUGGCUGUUCGCCAUUUAAAGCGGUACGCGAGCUGGGUUCAGAACGUCGUGAGACAGUUCGGUCCCUAUCUGCCGUGGGCGUUGGAUGAUUGAGGAGAGUUGCCCCUAGUACGAGAGGACCGGGGUGAACGAACCACUGGUGUACCAGUUGUCCUGCCAAGGGCAUCGCUGGGUAGCUAUGUUCGGAUGUGAUAACCGCUGAAAGCAUCUAAGCGGGAAGCCAACUCCAAGAUGAAUCAUCCCUGAAGAUCCGCAGAAGACUACUGCGUUGAUAGGCUGGGUGUGUAAGUGAUGAAAGUCAUUUAGCUGACCAGUACUAAUAGAUCGUUUGUAUUUACUUU